GCAGGUUUCCGGAUUAGCUGCCUUGACCGGCGAAAGUUUGGAGGAAAAGCAGUAGCUGGUGUCUGGGCGCAGCCUCCUGCGAGCCCAGAGAAGGGGCAGCAGAUGGCUUAACUACAUGUGAAAAGACACAGAUUACUGGUCACAUACAUCCAAAGCAGUGGCUGAAUGAGUGCCAAGUGCCCAGGAGCCUUCCCAGGCUGGCUUCACAGACGGACUUUACUGCGGGGAGACAAGUUAAACCCAGUCCCCAGUGCCUCAAGUUCCGCAGUGUGUUUUCCCACGUGUUGGUGAAUCGGUGGUGCAAGAAGUGAAUAGGAAGACCCAACCGCCUGCUUCGCUUUGCCCGCAGCGUACUUUGGAAACAGUGCUGUGCCAAUCCGAGUGACUUCGGUUCUGCGCUACAAGAGACGCAGCAUCAUUCAGCCAGGUGAGCCCCAGCACGGCACCAGCGUCAUCUUCAUUGCAAGCGGUAAUGUAAGCAAGAGCCAAAAGCUUGGCUUGGGGUAUUGCUGAAGCAGCGGGUGGACGUGAAGCUGUGAUGUGCGAGGUCUGGCUGAGCCUGCGCCUGAACCUGCUCAGACUCCGGCCCCGCAGCAGCCUGUGUGCUCAAGCUUUGCCUCUAUCCUGGCUCCCUCUCUCCCAGAGCAGAGCUGCUUGGCUUGUGCGUUUAUAAGAAUUCCCUUUUCUGACUGGUUCCCUAAUGUUCAGGCUGAAGACGCCGUCAGUCUGUGUGCCAGCAAACCGGCCAUCAGUCACCCAGCCAGGCAGACAGCAAAGAGCAGAAAGUCAGUGUUGUUACUGAAAACUAAGCUUUUUGGCUGCGCUUAUUUAUAGCAGCUUGGUACGUGUGCCUGUGUGUUUCUCCACGUGACAACAGGCAUCGUCCCCAACCACUACUGGCUCUGGAUGUGAUAACCUCCAUUCUCUCGGUCGUAACUGGAUUUUUUGGGCUGUCUAGAAAUACAUCGCUCAACUGUCUUACCUGUGAAGUGCCACUGGGUGACUGGAGCGAGCGCUUUGCCCUUCGGGGGUAAAGCACCCGCGUUCCUUCUCCCUGCGGGCACUUGCUCCAAGGGGCACCCAGGGCAGAAACUCGCUGGGCUCUUUGUGCUCAGCCCCACAGCGGAGCUGGGCUCCCCCCAAAACCCCGUCCCUGCUCUGCUCCAGGCGCUCUGCAACGCUGCUCGCAAUUUAUGUGCGAUCAGAUGGCUGUUGGGAGACCUCGGCUGUCUUCAAGUCUGGGUCGGGGCUGAGCAAAGCUCAGGAACAGAAAGCAUUUUAAACCCAUGUUUCGCAGGAGGCUUGAUCCGAGCUCCGCUUAGAGCAGCCCCUGCCAGCACUAGCGCGGCGGUUAUUUGGUCAGCGCUGAACCUCCGUUCAUCACUCGGUUCAGAUGGAGGCCACAAAGCAAGGGGGAGGCGGAUAUUUCCAGAACAAACCUAGGUUUUGGUUACACACGCAUGUCUCAGCGUCUGUUCUGCUGGCAGGCGGGAGCCCCACCCCGGGGAUUUGUGCUCAGCCUUUGGGAAGAGAGUGAGGAAAAUGAUUUAAAAUGCCUUCAGAUGCCUUUUCACUUCUUUUUAUUUAAUUCCAUAAAUAUUUUCAUAAGGCUCAGUGUCUUUACAACACUUUUUAAACACUUUUUCUGUUUGUUUUAUACACACAACUUUGACACUUGUUUGACAGGGUCAAACAGUUCGAUAUAAACAAAAUAAUAAAACUGGCAAGUGCGGAUCAGCUGGGUUACCAAAA
Columba livia (rock pigeon) is the source of this 1752-nucleotide long non-coding RNA. RefSeq lists it as uncharacterized. The transcript is spliced from 4 exons. The record is from RefSeq and is a predicted model, not a curated record. NCBI's taxonomy places the organism in Eukaryota, Metazoa, Chordata, Aves, Columbiformes, Columbidae.